CCGUACUCAUCAAAAUUACCGUACUCUGAUGUGAAAUCACUGUCACACCAGCUUGAUCCAUUAUUGCUGCAGCUGCUACAGGGCGUAGAGGCGGUGGUGGUUGUGGUGCAGUGAUGUGGGGAGGACGCCAAAUCCGACGGAGUUUCACUAUCCAUGUAUGCGCUCCUUCUACUUCUAGAGAGCCUUCGAGAAAGGCUUCUGGGUAGAAUUGAUGGAGAUUUGAUAGCAGUGAAGUGGAUGUUCUUGACUGAUUUAAUGAUAGCCUGGAAUGCAGAGAGUGAUCUUGAACGACUUUUAAGCAGCUUUUCAGCACUAAGAUCAUUUUCGCUAGAGAAGGAUGAAUUUGAAUCAUGCUGAAUGAGAAAAUCUUUGAGCAUUCGAGGACUGUGCUCUAAAGGAAGAUAUACUACAGAGGAACCCAUUGUUUGAUUUUUGAGAAAUAUACUACAGAGGGAUGGAGUUGGCAAGAGUGAAAUGGAAAGUGAGGAGUGAGGUUUUUUAAAGGAGGAGGAGAAGAAAGAGGGAGGUAACUUCUGGCCAGUUGGGAUAUCCACGUAAGAAGCUCGUGCAACACAUGAAGAAGAAGCCAUACAGGUGGAAGCGCGGAUGCUUCUAGUUUUCUUUUUAAUUUCUAAAUAGGAGAAUAUGCAUGUUCAUUAAUGGUUAAACAUUUUCUUUGGUCUCAGUAAUCAGCAUGCAUGGAUGAUUUAGAACAUUCAUUAACCAGAGAACUAAAAGCAGGUGCAAUUAUUCAUAUUAGCAUUCUGUAAAUUGUCACAUGUAGGAUAAUGUAAGCGUAUCAGCA
This is a long non-coding RNA of Hevea brasiliensis (rubber tree), 805 nucleotides long. RefSeq lists it as uncharacterized. The transcript has 2 exons. The record is from RefSeq and is a predicted model, not a curated record. Lineage: Eukaryota; Viridiplantae; Streptophyta; Magnoliopsida; Malpighiales; Euphorbiaceae.